UAGAAAAACCAGUUCUAGACCGCUAGAUUGGAGAUGGAUGGCAGAGGUGCUUCAGCCGCAAAAUUACAUGUUUAUGUGCAAAAACGUCCCUCCUUCCUAGUUAAUUUCCGCCCGAUGUCCUCCUCGUCCAAAAACCGAUUCCCCUCCGGCCGCGGCGGCAGCGCAGAUCCAAGAAUUCCCGGGCGGCGGCGUUCGUUUAGAUCCAGAGCCAAGCUGGGUCACGACGCCCAGUCGUGGUGCCGUUCCACCUCCGCUUCGAUGGCUCCCGCGGCUUAGUUUGAGGCGGAAUAAAUGGAAGCUCAUCGGCGUACGGCAAGCCGGUGGUGGGAUCGUCGUCUCCUUGCCCUCACAGGCCCUAGGAUCUACUCGUGGGCGUGCUCCCUACCUCCUCCUCUCAAGAUCUAGCAGUAGCUCGAAACGCUCCUCGCCUUCUUCCAGACCAACCACUGGAUUUCUGCAUGUCUUGUGCCGGCACUGUCGGCUGAAUUAAAGAGAUAUGCAGAGGCACUCUGUCGCCGAGUUGCGGGUGUGGAUUUGGAGCCGCUGGAAAAUACACAGGUGUGGUUGCGCUUGGUUGAUCUGAACAGUGGAAAGACAUCGUCCUCAUUAAAUUACACAUGAAGAUGCUACCAAGUUGCGUCACAACCUGGACGAAUGAUGAAUUCUCGCACUGUUGCAUGCUACUGGAAGACAUCACUGUGAUUCGGGAUUCCUGUGCACCAGACAUGUGUGUGGAGGCAAUAUCCGAAUGGACUUGUAGGUAAUUGGUGUUUUCCCAUAGAACCAUUUUUGUUGCAUAUUUAGUCUAUAAUUUCAAGUGAUUAUGAACUUGCUAUCACAGGGUACCUUGUUCAAAAUUGGGUGAACUGCUCACUGGCUGGAUUGUGUUACUGGGUAAUGUAGUUGAGUAGCAAUUAUGAACUGGCUAUCACACUGGACCAUUUUCUAAAAUGUGAUGACUUGUUUAGUGCCAGGAUGGGGUUAGUGGAGGUUGUAACCAUGCUCUUAUGAACUGCAAGUACUUGAUUUUCAGUUUGCAGGGAUGUGUCCCUGUUCGUGGCAACUUAACCGAUAAAAUCUUCAUAAGAUAAAGUUUAUCUUUCUCACACUGCUCCGGAGAGUAUCCGUGGGCUUCUGAUGUUGAGAAGGUUGUUUAUGUGGAAAAACAAUGGGUGCUUUUCCAGUGUGAGUGUAGGAUAAUGUCAGACCCAAAGUAUCUUCUUGUUCUGAAUAAUUGGUUUGCAUUAGGUAAUGAGGGUUUCAGUUUUAUUUUUCAUCUUACUCAAGUCCUUACAUGAUGAUUGAAAUAAUUGCCUUGCUCUUAAAAAUUGAUGUUUGAAGAUGUUAACCAGCAUGUUUGCAACUUCCUUGCAUGUUCUUGAGCAAUAUUUGGACCCAUCCUCCCAUAAAGCGGUCUGGAGACCCUCGUCCUAAUCUUUUUCGUCUGAGGCACGUUACAGGAAGCACUAUUACUGAAGACCGAGGGGUCCAACUUUUCUGCCAUGUAUCAUUUGGAAGCACUAGAACUGGAGGCAAAAGUCUGUUGAAAUUAUUAAUAGUAAUGCUUGUUGAGUGGUGAUCAUUUUAGUUUACAAUACUCAGUCUUGCCGGUCAUAUACUGAAAAUGAUCCUCUCAUGAUUUUGCCGGUCAUAUCACUUGACAUGUACUGAAAAGUCUGUUAUGUUUUGUUUCUAGAAAUGUACAUGGAUUAUCCAAUUUUAGAGAUAUGUUUAGUAAUGCUUGAA
Long non-coding RNA from Triticum aestivum (bread wheat), 1746 nucleotides. RefSeq lists it as uncharacterized. The transcript is spliced from 2 exons. Lineage: Eukaryota; Viridiplantae; Streptophyta; Magnoliopsida; Poales; Poaceae. The record is from RefSeq and is a predicted model, not a curated record.